RNAcentral lists this unclassified non-coding RNA (186 nucleotides) under Piloderma olivaceum. Its description in RNAcentral is "partial internal transcribed spacer 2". The record is from RNAcentral. Lineage: Eukaryota; Fungi; Basidiomycota; Agaricomycetes; Atheliales; Atheliaceae.
AAUUCUCAACUCCAAUCGAUUUGUUUCGACUUCGGAGCUUGGAUUUGGAGCGUGCUGGCGUCGGUCGGCUCCUCUUAAAUGCAUCAGCGGAAUCUAACGUUUCGGAUGUCAGUGUGAUAAUCAUGUUGCGCUGUCUGUCUGAUCCGAAAGCCCGCUCACAAUGGUCUUCGGACAACUUCAUAUCAA